AUGCACGCUGGCGGCGUGCUUCACCCCUGCCAGUCGCACGCUGAAGCCCAGCUUGCUGGGUGGAUUAGUGGCGAACGGGUGAGUAACACGGGAGUAACCUGCCCUUAACUCUGGGAUAAGCCUGGGAAACUGGGUCUAAUACCGGAUAGGAGCGUCCACCGCAUGGUGGGUGUUGGAAAGAUUUAUCGGUUUUGGAUGGACUCGCGGCCUAUCAGCUUGUUGGUGAGGUAAUGGCUCACCAAGGCGACGACGGGUAGCCGGCCUGAGAGGGUGACCGGCCACACUGGGACUGAGACACGGCCCAGACUCCUACGGGAGGCAGCAGUGGGGAAUAUUGCACAAUGGGCGCAAGCCUGAUGCAGCGACGCCGCGUGAGGGAUGACGGCCUUCGGGUUGUAAACCUCUUUCAGUAGGGAAGAAGCGAAAGUGACGGUACCUGCAGAAGAAGCACCGGCUAACUACGUG
Molecule: ribosomal RNA, 465 nt
Filed under: uncultured bacterium
Lineage: Bacteria
Description: partial 16S ribosomal RNA
Rfam family: Bacterial small subunit ribosomal RNA
Source: RNAcentral